Molecule: ribosomal RNA, 406 nt
Filed under: uncultured bacterium
Lineage: Bacteria
Description: partial 16S ribosomal RNA
Rfam family: Bacterial small subunit ribosomal RNA
Source: RNAcentral
AUUGAACGCUGGCGGCAUGCCUAACACAUGCAAGUCGAACGAGUGGCGCACGGGUGAGUUACGUCUGGGCAACUGCCUGAUGGAGGGGGAUCACUACUGGAAACGGUCGCUAAUCGCGCAUACUAUCGGCUGCCCCCAGAUGUGAUUAGCUAGUGGGUGGGGUAAAGGCUCACCUAGGCGACGCUCCCUAGCUGGUCUGAGAGGAUGACCAGCCACACUGGAACUGAGACACGGUCCAGACUCCUACGGGAGGCAGCAGUGGGGAAUAUUGCACAAUGGGCGCAAGCCUGAUACAGCCAUGCCGCGUGUAUGAAGAAGGCCUUCGGGUUGUAAAGUACUUUCAGCGGGGAGGCGUUACCCGCAGAAGAAGCACCGGCUAACUCCGUGCCAGCAGCCGCGGUAAUAC